GCUGCUGCUGCUGCUGCUGCUGCUGCUGCUGCUGCUGCUGCUGCCGCCACAGGGCAGCAUCGAGAGCUGAGAACGAAAACAGGUCCUCCACAAACAAAAGUCAGAAGGGGAGGAGGUUGGGCAUCACAAACGGCAUAGUGUCGCCGAGAUGGGACUCCACCUUACUUCACCUUCCUCUCUCUCUUCCUUCUUGGUCUUUUCCAGUCUGGAAUCUCACCAAUAUGUAGUGCUACCAAGAAAGAGAACAACGGCAAAAGCAUACAGCAGCAGAGAUCGAGAAGUAGAGAGAGAAGCUGUUUCUUCAUCGUGAUCCAGAAGCAGAGAUGGAGCUGUGUGCGCGACCUUAUUCGACCCAUGUCCAUUCUUAUUCCGCGACAGAUCAAUAAAUAUGACGACACCGUGAGCAUCAUCGCCCAUAUAUGUCUGUUAUGUUGUGUUACACCUAUGAUGCCACUCAGGUAACGAUGAAGGUGUAGGAGGAGGUAAAUGUAUGUGACGUGAGAGACGAAGAUGCACGCAUGGGACAAGGUAGGAUUUGGACGUGGAUGUUGCGUUGGUGACAGAAUGUAUGCACCGAGAGGAAGGAGGAAUUGAGAGGGCUAAGAUACCAAAUCUACUGAACCACGGCCAAGAAGGAACCUGCUGCAGUAGUCGCUGCUGCCGAUGCCGUCGUCGAUGCGUUCCCGCCGCCGCCGCUCACGCUCUGCCUCUGGAACUGUAUCUCGUACUGCAUCUUGCUGUCCUCGUCGUCCUCAUUGUCGUCGUCGUCCUCCUCAUCUUCGUGCAAGUUAUUGCUGUCGGGCUCGUCCACCUUAUCAGGGUCAUCCAUCACCGGUUGACGUUGCCUUCGCUCCAUCGGCUCCUUCACGAUGUCUUCUGGCUUCGAAUGCCGCAAUGAAGUGAUUGGAUCACGAGAGUGUAUGGGAAAUAGCUGGUGAGAGCAAGUGAGCCUUGCUACUAACCUUCUUCAUCGCUUCUUCAAAGAAGGUGGGCCGAUGUCCUCCUUCGCUCGUUUGAACUUGUGCACCAUCGCGACCUUCACCGCCCUCAGCAUUCCCACCAUUACUGUUUCCGUUAUCGUUGCCACUGUCGUCCGGGGUCUUCGUUGCAGGCCGCUGUUGGUGCUGUUCUUGUGAGAUUGGCUCCUGUUGUGGUUUGACUCCCACACUGCUACUGCUAGUGCCGCCGCCGCUACUGCCGAGCAGUUUCUUGCGAUAGAGUGCGUCCAAUUGGUGGAAGUAAGGACAGGUCUUGGAGUCCUCCGGCCGUUUCCUGUUGCCCUCCUUCACCUUCUUGAAGUACUUGUUGAUGUUCUCCCACUUCUCCUUGCAUCUCUUGGCACUCCGGUUGUACCCGAGCCGCUGCAUUCCCGUGGAGAUCUCCUCCCAGAGGGGACCCUUAGGGCCGGAGUCCUGGUAACUCGACUCGAGGCUGCUCCGUAGAUCGAUGAGCGCAUGGACCUCCGCCUUUGGCCACCUCGAGGACGACGUCGGCUCGAAGCUCCCGCUGCCUUGACCCUCCUGAGCCUCUGAACUGAUCGGCGCCAUCUGUGUCGCUGAUGACUGCUGAGCAUCACGUUGCUGCUGAGGUGGCUGAGCUUGUUGUGGCAGGGUUGGUGGCGGCAGAGUGUGCGACGGCUGUGGAGGACGGGGUGCGAUGGAGGAGGCGGCGGCCGGCGUGGCGGCCAAUGGGAUGGAUUGACCGCUGACCUUUUGAAGAUAGGAGACGACUGCGCUGUCUCGGGACGCCGCCAUGGCGCGCUCUUGGACCAGCAGCUCCUGCUCCAGGCUGAGCCGCGACAUCUCCUGCAGCCGCCACGCCUCCUCUCGUUUCAUCCGGUCCUGCUCUCUUUUGUCGAUCGCGUCCAAGAAACGCUGCUGCAUGGCCUCCUGCCGCUCCAUCACCUGCUUCAUCAGCCCUUCGAAGAAGGCCAUCAUCUGCCGCCUAUAACGAGCGCUCCCUCGAUGCUUUCUCUUGCGUCCUUUCCCGACCCCACCAGCCUCUUCGGUGUCCGCGUCGUCCGACUCCGACGACGAAGAGGAUGAAGAAUUCGACGAGAAGCCGAGCCCGGCUGCAGCUGCGGCGGCAGCAGAGCUCGAGACUCCUUGUGCGCCGUGCUCGGGGACGACACUGGUCGGCAUGGUCACGGGCGGUGGAGCUCCGCCGGAGAUGGGCGAGACUUGAAUUCUAGUACCCGAGGGGCCCGCCAUUCCGGUGGUGAAGCUAAAGGGGGACGACGUGGCAGCAGCUAGGGGACGUGCGGCGAUCGCAGCCGGCGUGGUGGCGCCUCCCCCGCCGGUGCGAUGGAGGGCCUCGAGCUCGCUGUAGAAGCGGUAGGUCUUGCCGUCCUGGCGGCCAGCCCGGCCAUCCUUCUUGCGCUUGUAGUACUUGUGCACGUUCUCGAACUUCUCCUUGCACUUCUUGGCGCUCCUCUCGUAGCCCAACUCCGCUAGCUUCCUGCCCACCACCACCACCAACCAAACACGCUCACCAACCUAUCAAAAACGACUCCCAAUACCAUGAAGAAGGAGAAUUCCACGGACUAAACAGACCGAGAACAAGAAGGAGGUAGGAGGAGGAGAAGAAAGAGAUGAAAACAAGACCAUCAUGCCGGCAUACACCCACACAAACGGCAUCUACACCGAAUCACCCGCCGAUUGUGACCUGAACUAAUAAUAUAAAUUAGCUAAAGGAGAAAAGGGUUGCGAGAAGGAAACUGAAAUUAAAAACGAAUGCGCCUCGAUGGUUGCAUUAGGGGAGUGCGUACUUUUUGUAUGUUGGUUAGGUUGGGAUUGGCGUAGCGGAGGCAUCUUUCAUGGAACUCAGGGAAGAAAUAGUUGUAAACAGGAGGAGGAUAAGGUAGUGGGAAAAGAGAGAGAACAAGGCAUGAAUAGGGCACGGGAGAAGGAAAUAACCGACCCUCCCUCUCGAAGUUAUUGGUUCUUCUUCUUGCCAGAGCUACUUGAAGCUCUACAUCACCGCUACGGAUCCAAACGUAGAUCGGUACACAACUAUUUAUGGGAAAUUCUCGGAGUGGUGAAGUAGCACAUCACAAAGCAUAGUACCAAAAGCAGGUGAUCUGUGUAUCCGUGGACGAGAGCAGCAGAGCUUUAGGCUCCACAUUUCGGAGGGAAUUCCGAAGAAUUUAGGAUCGUUUUACCUGGAGACUUCUUCCCACAGAGGGCCCUUAAUGGUGGCAUCGCGGAAUGCGGCGUCCAUCUCGGAGCGGAUCUUCAGCAGCGCCAGCGUCUCCUGCCGCGGCCAGCGGUUACCGGGCGCGCCGCCGCGCUCGGCAUCCUCGUCCGGGAAGCCGCCGCCGGCCACCGCGGGACCCAUCUCGUCGAAAUCGGCGGCAGCGUCCUCCGGCGGCGGGCGACGACUGCUGAUGGGGGAAGCGGCCUCCGCCAACAGCGGCGGCGGCUGGAGGAAGGCGCCAGCUCUGUGUCCGGCCGUCUCCGAGGAAGGCCCCCCGAAUUGUGACCCUCCUUCCUGCUGCUGCUGCAUGGUUCUGCAGUAACUACAGUGUUAGGCAGCUACAGCCUGUCGUUCUCUUGCCAGUAACAGACAUGUUGGAGGCAUUUCCUGGUGUUGCAGCAGGACUCAUCUCAAUCAUGUUGAGGCAUUUCCUGGUGGAAAGGAGCUUGCAGUAACUGGUUAAAGGACAGGAGGAGGAUGUGGUAAAAGGUGUGAUGGAUUUAAAGCUUGAUGAUGGCACAUCACCCCAAGUGUCGAAGUGGCUGACACCUCCAUGGGACAAACAAAUAUACCUUUGCCUGGUGGAAUUGCUGUCGUGCAU
Musa acuminata AAA Group (dessert banana) is the source of this 3796-nucleotide long non-coding RNA. RefSeq lists it as uncharacterized. The transcript has 3 exons. Lineage: Eukaryota; Viridiplantae; Streptophyta; Magnoliopsida; Zingiberales; Musaceae. The record is from RefSeq and is a predicted model, not a curated record.